CAGUCGCCGCGGGAAUACGUAGGGUGCAAGCGUUAAUCGGAAUUACUGGGCGUAGAGCGUGCGCAGGCGGUUGUGUAAGUCUGAUGUGAAAGCCCCGGGCUCAACCUGGGAACUGCAUUGGAGACUGCACGGCUAGAGUGCGUCAGAGGGGGGUAGAAUUCCGCGUGUAGCAGUGAAAUGCGUAGAGAUGCGGAGGAAUACCGAUGGCGAAGGCAGCCCCCUGGGAUGACACUGACGCUCAUGCACGAAAGCGUGGGGAGCAAACAGGAUUAGAUACCCGGGUAGUCCCUGUCUCUUAUAC
This 301-nucleotide ribosomal RNA is filed under the name uncultured bacterium. RNAcentral's name for it is "partial 16S ribosomal RNA". It matches the Rfam family "Bacterial small subunit ribosomal RNA", at positions 509 to 807 of the family's 1533-position model. The record is from RNAcentral.